UAAAAAAAAAAGAAGAGGACGCAUCUUUGAUUUUUCCUCUUAAGCAAGCAAUUUGCGACGUGGUUCUCUGGUGUCCCCGCGUUAUCUAUUUAUUUCCCGGACACACCCUUCUUCUUCUUUUCGUUCCUUCUUUUCUCCUAUUGCAAAACUCUCCUUACCUCCAACUAUCAAUGGCGACAAUUUCUUUACCAAAUGGUUUGAAAACUCUGUUCACUGUUCUCGGUGCUCUCAUGCUUGCUCUCCUUCUUUACACACUCAUUACCGACGGUUUCCCCUUCCGCAAAGAACUUCUCACUCCGUGGAUGGCAGCAACUUUGGUUGAUUUCUAUAUCAACGUUGCAAUUUUGAGCGCCUGGGUUGUUUACAAGGAAGCAAAUUGGGUCAGCUCAAUUAUAUGGAUAAUUUUACUUAUCUCCCUUGGAAGCAUUGCUACAUCUGCCUAUAUUGUUGUGCAAUUUUUGAAGCUGUCAUCUCAAGAAUCUUCACAGGACCCUAUGACCUAUGUUCUUUUACGACAUCCACACAAGAGUGGCAUAGAACCAAAAACAAAGUGUUCUGUUGUUGCAAUUCUAAGAAUCCUUUUCAGCGUUUUGGGCGUUGUCAUGCUUGGAACCUUGGUAUACACUCUUGUCACUGAUGGUUCUCCUUUCCGUACGGAGCUAUUGACUCCGUGGAUGCAAGCAACACUAGUUGACUUCUACAUCAAUGUUGUGGCCCUAGCAGUCUGGGUUGCCUACAAAGAAUCUAAUUGGAUUUAUGCGGUUUUAUGGGUGAUUCUAUUGAUAUGUUUUGGCAGCAUCACUUCAUGCAUCUACGUUGUAUGGCAGUUGUUCCAAAUAUCUUAUCAGGAUCCUGCUUACCUUAUUUUAGUUCAUCAUAAUGACAGAAACGGCAAUGGUUAUUGAUGGUAGGGCAGAAAACAAAUAUAAGGAGAUUUCUGCUGAUGCAACAUAGCAAUGGUGUUAAUCAAACAAGGUGUGGUAUACUGGUAUGUGAUCAUACAAAUCUGAAGUAAAAAUGACCCCAGAAGACAGUAAAUUAACAUACUCUGAUGAAAUUGAUGCCUGGAGAUAGUAUCUGAAAACACGAGUUGGCGGUUGGACGAUGUCAUUGUCCAUAUAAAUAAAUGUUAUAUCCCUAGUAUAGUUUUUUAUUUUAUAGUUGUGUAAUUUGAACUUCAAAAUACAUCGUCUUUGUUUAUCUCUAUUUCUCUCACUUUUAUAUUUUUUUCACAUUUGGUAUGCAACUUCAUCCUGCUACCUCAUUCGUUAUAAAAUAAAAUGGUGUAAAGUA
Molecule: RNA transcript, 1293 nt
Organism: Lathyrus oleraceus (garden pea)
Lineage: Eukaryota; Viridiplantae; Streptophyta; Magnoliopsida; Fabales; Fabaceae
Exons: 10
Source: RefSeq, a predicted model, not a curated record